UUCCGUAGGUGAACCUGCGGAAGGAUCAUUAAACCUUAUACUUCGGGGGGCCGGCGUUGAAUAGCAGUUCCAUUGCGGAUCGGCUACUCUCCCCGCCCUGUCUGAACAUUACCCAUGCUUUUUGCGUACCCAUUGUUUCCUCGGCAGGCUUGCCUGCCAGCAGGACCCCUUUACAACCUUUUGCAAUUGCAGUCAGCGUCAGAAAAAACUUAAUAGUUACAACUUUCAACAACGGAUCUCUUGGUUCUGGCAUCGAUGAAGAACGCAGCGAAAUGCGAUAAGUAGUGUGAAUUGCAGAAUUCAGUGAAUCAUCGAAUCUUUGAACGCACAUUGCGCCCCUUGGUAUUCCAUGGGGCAUGCCUGUUCGAGCGUCAUUUGUACCUUCAAGCUCUGCUUGGUGAUGGGUGUUUGUUCCGCCGCAGCGCGUGAACUCGCCUCAAAUCAAUUGGCAGCCGGCAAUCUGGUGUUUGAGCGCAGCACAUUUUGCGCUCUUCGCUGUGUUGCAGGCGUCCAUGAAGCCUAUAUUUUCGCGCUUGACCUCGGAUCAGGUAGGGAUACCCGCUGAACUUAAGCAUAUCAAUAAGCGGAGGA
RNAcentral lists this ribosomal RNA (591 nucleotides) under uncultured Pyrenochaeta. RNAcentral's name for it is "eukaryotic LSU rRNA". The stretch from base 221 to 374 matches the Rfam family "5.8S ribosomal RNA". Lineage: Eukaryota; Fungi; Ascomycota; Dothideomycetes; Pleosporales; Pleosporaceae. The record is from RNAcentral.